AUACGUAGGGGGCGAGCGUUGUCCGGAAUGAUUGGGCGUAAAGGGCGCGUAGGCGGCCCGGUAAGUCUGGAGUGAAAGUCCUGUUUUUAAGAUGGGAAUUGCUUUGGAUACUGUCGGGCUUGAGUGCUGGAGAGGUAAGUGGAAUUCCCAGUGUAGCGGUGAAAUGCGUAGAGAUUGGGAGGAACACCAGUGGCGAAGGCGACUUACUGGACUGUAACUGACGCUGAGGCGCGAAAGUGUGGGGAGCAAACAGGAUUAGAUACCCUGGUAGUCCACACUGUAAACGAUGAAUGCUAGGUGUAGGGGGUAUCGACCCCUUCUGUGCCGCAGUCAACACAAUAAGCAUUCCGCCUGGGGAGUACGGCCGCAAGGUUGAAACUCAAAUGAAUUGACGG
RNAcentral lists this ribosomal RNA (395 nucleotides) under uncultured bacterium. Its description in RNAcentral is "partial 16S ribosomal RNA". It matches the Rfam family "Bacterial small subunit ribosomal RNA", at positions 523 to 916 of the family's 1533-position model. The record is from RNAcentral.